AGAGUUUGAUCAUGGCUCAGGAUGAACGCUAGCGGCAGGCUUAACACAUGCAAGUCGAGGGGCAGCAAGGGUAGCAAUACCUGUUGGCGACCGGCAAACGGGUGCGGAACACGUACACAACAUACCUUUUACUGGAGCAUAGCCCGUUGAAAAGCGGAUUAACACUCCAUAAUAUAAUUGGGAGGCAUCUCUUGGUUAUUAAAAAUUUAUUGGUAAGAGAUUGGUGUGCGUCCUAUUAGCUAGUUGGUAGGGUAACGGCCUACCAAGGCGACGAUAGGUAGCUGGUGUGAGAGCACGACCAGCCACACGGGCACUGAGACACGGGCCCGACUCCUACGGGAGGCAGCAGUGAGGAAUAUUGGUCAAUGGACGAGAGUCUGAACCAGCCAUGCCGCGUGAAGGAUGAAGGCGUUCUGCGUUGUAAACUUCUUUUAUCUGGGAAGAAACCUUCUUUUUCUAAGGAAGCCGACGGUACCAGAGGAAUAAGCACCGGCUACUCCGUGCCAACAGCCGCGGUA
Molecule: ribosomal RNA, 518 nt
Filed under: uncultured Bacteroidota bacterium
Lineage: Bacteria; Pseudomonadati; Bacteroidota
Description: bacterial SSU rRNA
Rfam family: Bacterial small subunit ribosomal RNA
Source: RNAcentral